GUGGGAUACGGUGACAUGUAUCCAGCCACAGUGUGGGGUAAAAUGGUGGGCUCCAUGUGCGCCAUUGCUGGCGUGCUCACUAUUUCCCUGCCUGUGCCUGUCAUUGUGUCCAAC
Oryzias latipes (Japanese medaka) is the source of this 114-nucleotide non-coding RNA. The record is from Rfam. NCBI's taxonomy places the organism in Eukaryota, Metazoa, Chordata, Actinopteri, Beloniformes, Adrianichthyidae.